RNAcentral lists this transfer RNA (71 nucleotides) under Marmota monax (woodchuck). RNAcentral's name for it is "tRNA.Ala". The record is from RNAcentral. Lineage: Eukaryota; Metazoa; Chordata; Mammalia; Rodentia; Sciuridae.
GAGGUCGUGGCUCAGAGGUAGAGUGCUCACCUAGCACGAGUGAGGCACUGGGUUCAAUCCUCAGCACUACA